ACCAAAGCUACGACGGAGAGAAAGAUACAAUAUUUAUCUUAAGAGAGCUAAUGUAUGGUGCGAAUUAGCGAUAGUAUGUAUGUAAUAAUCACUCCCGAGCUUCUGUCCGAAAUGCAAAAAGUAGGUGCAGACGUGUGUCGACGUUAUACGACUAGAGUUCAGGCAUAGCCUCGACUUGACUAAGAUACAAUUUUUAAAUUGUAAAGUAGGGUGGUACCGCGAAUAUACUUUCGCCUCUACA
This 241-nucleotide non-coding RNA is filed under the name Hathewaya proteolytica. RNAcentral describes it as "Clostridium proteolyticum T-box sequence". It matches the Rfam family "T-box leader". From Rfam's summary of the family: Uncharged tRNA acts as the effector for transcription antitermination of genes in the T-box leader family. T-boxes are found upstream of many aminoacyl-tRNA synthetase genes and some amino acid biosynthetic genes usually in Gram-positive bacteria. The anticodon of a specific tRNA base pairs to a specifier sequence within the T-box motif, and the NCCA acceptor tail of the tRNA base pairs to a conserved bulge in the T-box antiterminator hairpin. The record is from RNAcentral. Lineage: Bacteria; Bacillati; Bacillota; Clostridia; Eubacteriales; Clostridiaceae.